This is a long non-coding RNA of Helianthus annuus (common sunflower), 1197 nucleotides long. RefSeq lists it as uncharacterized. The transcript is spliced from 3 exons. Lineage: Eukaryota; Viridiplantae; Streptophyta; Magnoliopsida; Asterales; Asteraceae. The record is from RefSeq and is a predicted model, not a curated record.
UUUUAAGUGUACUAUUUACUCUUUCUCCUUCUAUAUAUGGACACAAAUGAGGAACCAGAGCUCCCAUCAAACACAUAACAACAACAACAGACUUAAAAGUCUGACCCUCUCUCUCGAAUUUCAUAACACAGAAAGCUUACACACACCAAAACUCUUGUUCUCACAACACACCCAAGGUCACAAACUCAGUGACAAGUCUCAUCUCCUCUCAAAUAAGAACACACAUCACUCCACCAGCCCCUCUCCCCCCUUCGUUUGACUGAGCGGCCGGCCACCACCACCUUCUGGUGGCGGCGCGUCGGCAAGAUGAGAGAGAGAGAGAUGAUGCAGGAGAGAGAGAGAGAGCAAUCGGAACUGAGAGAGAGAAGACGGAGAGGAAUGACGAAGAGGAGAGGGCCGACGCUCUAUUGCCGAUGUCAGUGCCGCCGUGUACGGCGGCGGAGGAGGCGGAUUUCGAGCAAAAAUGAAGACGACAGCCUGGUGUUCUUCUCCGGAACGAUGAUGAUUACGUUGAUGACGUUGAAGUAGUGGUGUCGGCCACGCCGGCGACGGCGUCGGUGGUAGCGAAGAUUCUGAUUCGGGUUUCGCUUCGUGGUCGAGUCGACUCGGUCAAACCCGAGUCAACUCGGGCCAACUCAGUCGGUCAACAGGUCAAAACAGUCAAGGUCAGACGUGGUUUCGGGUUUCGAUCAACGGUCCGGGUCAGAUUUUGAAGCGUUUCGGGUUCACUCGGUCGGACCGAGUCAACUCAGUCAACGCAACGAGUCAACUCAGCGGGUAAACCCGGUUGACUCGGUCAACUCAGCGUGCCGACACGAAGAUUCGGUUGCAUUUCUAAUACAAGGAACGGUUGGAGUAGGAGGACCAUGAAGAGUCGAGUACUUAGUGGGCGUUCAGUUUCUGGAAAGACUUAGUUUAUUUGCUUCCGCUGUGCAAUGAAGAUACCAGUCCAGUCACGCCAAUGCUCUGAUAAUUUCGGGGUGUGACACUUAUGAGGAAACCUACAACUAGGAAAAUCUCUGUUUUUGAAUGUCGUAUUUGAAAAACAAAAAAUCAAAUCUUCAUCGUUGCUAAAAAAACCUAAUAUAUUACAAAAGAGAAAUUAAAUAUAUGCUAUUUGUUAAUAUGGAUGUACCUGUAUGACCGUUUAGUGAGCUUGAUUUAUUUUAACGUAACAUGUGUGAGAUGUUUUAUAUA